This is a long non-coding RNA of Amblyraja radiata (thorny skate), 128 nucleotides long. RefSeq lists it as uncharacterized. Lineage: Eukaryota; Metazoa; Chordata; Chondrichthyes; Rajiformes; Rajidae. The transcript is spliced from 3 exons. The record is from RefSeq and is a predicted model, not a curated record.
AGCAUGUACAGGGAGAAGAGAAUGGGGCCUAGGAUGGAGCCUUGUGGCACCCCGCAGUAAAGGCUAGCUAGGGAAGAGAAAGAAUUGCCUAUGUUGGCAGGUAGGAGACGAACCAGCUCAGGGCAGUG